Molecule: long non-coding RNA, 4122 nt
Filed under: Homo sapiens (human)
Lineage: Eukaryota; Metazoa; Chordata; Mammalia; Primates; Hominidae
Description: p53 upregulated regulator of p53 levels
Source: RNAcentral
GUGGUGACCUGGGAAUCAAUGUGUGAGGUGGUGCUAUGUAGCAGGAACCCCUCUUGCUUUGCAAAUAGUUUUUUGUUUGUUUUCCUUUUUGCCCAAUAGAGCCCUGCUCUACUGACCCUUCAAUGUGCCCGUGUGCCUAAAUAUUCCUGGUCGUGUGAAAAGAACCCAGUCAAGCUCAACUUGCAGAACUGAUGGGAACCCCUUGGGAAAACUGGCCUCAAAUGUUUGUCUACACAGUCCACAUACAGGGUUCUUAACCUGCGGAAACACUUUCUGAAAAUGUCAGAACUCUUGAAAACAUGGAUGAGGAAAAGCAUAAGUACUGCUUUAUGCUUUUCUUAUGAAUUUUAAAAGAUGUAAUUUAAAGGUACUUUAAAGUGAUAUUUGUGCCCUUGUAACUGAUUCAAAGUAGACUGCUAAGGACAAUAAGUAAUAAGAGUCUACAAAUAUCAGUAAAUUAUGAGAAAAAACGGUCUAAUGGUACUUAAAAUUGCAUUGUGAUUUAUUAAAUAACAUUGAACAGCUCCACCUGUAACAUUAAGAUUCCAUUUGAGCAUAUAGAAAAUAUAUUUAUCGCAACCUGAAGUGAUUUGGAAAGUAUGCUGGGAAGAAAAUAUAUUUACAAAUUAGUCUCAGAGGGUAGGUAUCCUGUAGCCAGAUGGAAUAAGAAGAGAGGGAAGGGAGAUUUUGUUCAAAGGGGGAGCAUAAGCUAAGGAAUAAAGCCACAAACAAUGAUUAAAUUAGGUAAAGUGCAAUUAGCUGAAUAUUGCAUAAGCAUACAUAUGGGAAGAAGUGGAAAAAGGAGUGACAAUAUGAAGCUAAAGGGUUUGAAGUGUUCAAGAUAAUACUAGGCUUCCUAGCCUAUUCCGAGACAUCUUGUUUUAGAGUGCAAUAGAUAAGAACUCUAAGGAUGAAAGUAGGAGACAUGCAUUCUAGUCUACGUUUUGGUUAAUGGACUGAAAGUGAAAGAUGGACUGAAAUUGGGGGAUGGAAUAAAAAUGUGAUAGAAUAGAAAAUAGAAAAAGCAAUUAGCCUAAUGUCAUUGAUACUUAGAGAAAAUAUGGAAAAUAGUAAAUUAGUGAUAUAUAUCUUUUCUAAUUCACCAGGGUGAGUGAACAAAGGAAAUCGGAUUUAAAAGUAUUCAUGACAUAGAUGCAAUAAGGUUUCUCAGUCAGACAUAGCAAAUUGAGGGAAGGGAAGAUUUAGAGGAUUGGAAAAUGUCUUGCUUGUAGACUAAUAGGAUAUCAAUAAGCCAUAUGAGCAAUAAUUUGAAAUAGUUUUUGUAAAGUAUCAUGAAGGUAAACCCUGUUUAGAACAAAUUAGAUUUGAAGUACUUGUGACAAAUGCAAUUGACAAUGCCUUUAUGCAGCUGGAAAAUUGUUGCUUAGCAGAAAAGCUUGUGCUGGACAAAUAGAUGUCCAAAUUGAAUAGAUGUUUUCUUAAGCUGAACUAAUUGAGACAAAUAUCCUUAUUAAAUCAAAAAAUUAAAAAUUGAAAUAACUUACCUAUGAUAGGGUAAAUAAUGUUAUUAAUAUACACAAGAAAUAUGUGAUGUAUAUGUGUAUGUACAUAUGUAUACAUAGUAAUAAUACAUAGUGCUAUUUUUAAAUGAUAUUUUACAUAGUGCUUUUUUAAAUGAUUUUUCAAUCAUCGUUGUUGGUCUGUGUUAUUUUAAUCAUCAAAGCUGAUUGAUUUCUGUUUUUGUGUUUUUUUUUGUUUUUUUUGAGGUGGAGUCUCACUCUGUCACCCAUGGUGGAGUACAGUAGUGCGGUCUUAGCUCACUACAAACUCCACUUCCCUGAUUCAAGUAAUUCUUGUGCCUCAGCCUCUCGAGUAGCUUGGAUUGCAGGCAUGCACCACCACGAGCUGCUAAAUUUUUUGUAUUUUUUGUAGAGGGGUUUUGCCAUGUUGGCCAAGCUGGUCUCAAACUCCUGACCUCAAGUGAUCCGCCCUGGCUUCCCAAGCCCAGCUGAUUCCUGUUUAAAUAAAAACUUACAAAGAUCUUCCCACAAGUACUUUAUCUUACAAUUUACUGAACAAUAGAGGCAGUGAAGAUGUUUUUCAGAAAGCAAUUGUGAUCCUGACAUUUUCUUCUUAUAAUCCUGUGCUUUCCUCAUUUUUUUAUAUUAAAAGUAAUAGUUCUUGUGAUGGCAACUAGGAUUUGUAACAACAUGUACCCUCAUUUCCUGCAUGACCUUUUUUAUGUCACUUCUUCACAUGCAAAGUAUACUCCCUCAGUGUCAUUACAUUAUUUGAUUUUUGCCCUUUCCCUCACCUUUCCAUGUGUUUAUUUGCCUAUGCCCAUCUCCUAGUCACAUUUUAUCUAGUUAACGCCAACUUGACUUUCAAUGCUGUUCAAGAUUUACCUCAAUCUCAAGUGUUUUCUCUUUAUAUUCCAUACACGCUUAGCUUGGCUGCCAAUCCUCUUGGCUGCCAAAGAAUCCCAAAUUAUCUCUUUCAAAAAUACAAGAAAUAAAGGAUGGAGGAUAGGAAGGAGGGUGGUCAGGAAAGAACAAAGAAAGGAGGGGAGAGGAAAAAAAGAGAGAAAGAAAGAGAAUUAAAGUUAAGGAGGAAGAAUUUCACACUGAAUUAAAAUUGAUAAUAUUCAGGAAUGAUUUUAUAGUAGGCAUACAUUGAUAAAUAUUAGUUAAAUUAAUGAAUUAUUCCAAAAGAUCAUGAUUUGUAAAAAUUACCCUGAAGCACUUUAGGAAUAUUACAUUGAAAUAGGUAUGCAAUUUCUAAAGAAACUGGACUGCAAAAAUAGCCAUUGUGUGUACCUGUGGACCAGAAUAUUAUAUUUUGCUUAAGUUUGAAGUGUUAAAGUGCCCAACGUGCUCUUAUUUUAACCUAGCAAAUUUUCAGCAGAACUUAAGCUCAUAUAGUAUUUGAUUUUUUCAUUUCUCACAACUGUUGGAAUUCUGUUUUAUUGAAAAUUAUACAAUAAAAUGUUAAAAAAUCUUUGUUCCUGCAGUUAUGCAAUCUUAUGCCAAAGUCAAUAAAUUAUUAAAUUAAAAUCAAACCCACUAAGCCUAACAAUUUGAGAAAAUGAUUAUUAAAACAUAUACCAUUUAGAAGGGCAAUGCCUUUUUAAUAUUAUAGUGAAGACAACCCUAUCAAUUAUUUAAUACACCAAGAAUACAAGGAUAUAAAAUCUUUUUCUCUCAUAUAUCACAUUAUCUGAUGUAUUUAGCUGUGAUGACAUUCCAGAAAACAUCACUUUUUAAAAUUUCUAAGAUUUUAUUAUGUUGCUAGCAAAUCGAUUUUUUUCAAGUACUGUAACAAAAUCCCUAAAUGGGCUUUAUGAGAACUAUUUUCAGUGUGAUAUUAAUCAUAUUUUAUUUAUCAUCCAUACAUAGAUGGUAGCUUAUCUGGUAUUCCUAGUGUUUGAAGUGAAGAGUAACACACACACACAUCCCAAUACCAAUUUAAUUGAUAAAUAUAUAAUCAUUUGUUUUCAAAUAUUUAUGUUGAUACUUGCUUGUGUACUUACUUGUAAUGUAGGUCUGUAAAAGGGACUGUUUUCUUUCUGUGAAACUGAAGCUUAAAGCAGUGCUUGUCACAAAUUCAAAAUCACCUUGCUUUGUCAACAUUUUCAGAUGUUUUUGGCUCAGUCUGAUGACAGCAUCAGUGCAGUAAAGGGAUCUUAUUGAAAUGUUUUAACUAAAGAUAAAAUGCCACCACUAGGAGAAAAAUAAAAUCAAGGAAAUAAACAGAAAAUCAAUAAAUGUGAAAUGUAUUAUAAAUUUAUAUAAUAACAAUGUUGUAUGCUAUAAACAUCUCACUUUGUAAAAUUAACAAGAAUUCAGUGAGGCAGAUCAUUUUCUAUGUGUUCAGAAGUCAAGUCUUUGAUGGCUAAUUUUUAUAUUACUUCAUUACAAUAUCUCUACUGAAGCAAAAUAAUUGCAAAUCUUUUUGAAUGAAAUCAAUUUAUCUUUAAUUUUAGAUAAUAUUUGGUAUAGUUGGCAUAGUUUUGUCACAAAGCAUAGCUAACAUCAAUGUAGCCUUACGACUUCAAAUGUCUUUAUAGAUCUUUUCUGAAAUUGCAAAAUUUUACUUUGAAAUUAUUGUUAAUAUUUACGUUGCACAACCACAAAUGUAGAAAUAAAAUUAUAAAGUCUCCAG